RNAcentral lists this unclassified non-coding RNA (346 nucleotides) under soil metagenome. RNAcentral describes it as "partial contains 5.8S ribosomal RNA, internal transcribed spacer 2, and large subunit ribosomal RNA". The stretch from base 1 to 120 matches the Rfam family "5.8S ribosomal RNA", at positions 35 to 154 of the family's 154-position model. The record is from RNAcentral.
GAUGAAGAACGUAGCGAAAUGCGAUAAGUAAUGUGAAUUGCAGAAUUCAGUGAAUCAUCGAGUCUUUGAACGCACAUUGCGCCCCCUGGUAUUCCGGGGGGCAUGCCUGUCCGAGCGUCAUUGCUGCCCUCAAGCACGGCUUGUGUGUUGGGCCCCGUCCUCCGAUUCCGGGGGACGGGCCCGAAAGGCAGCGGCGGCACCGCGUCCGGUCCUCGAGCGUAUGGGGCUUUGUCACCCGCUCUGUAGGCCCGGCCGGCGCUUGCCGAUCAACCCAAAUUUUUAUCCAGGUUGACCUCGGAUCAGGUAGGGAUACCCGCUGAACUUAAGCAUAUCAAUAAGCGGAGGA